This 762-nucleotide ribosomal RNA is filed under the name Iberesia sp. CRBAMM000744. Its description in RNAcentral is "eukaryotic LSU rRNA". The stretch from base 473 to 762 matches the Rfam family "Eukaryotic large subunit ribosomal RNA", at positions 665 to 922 of the family's 3401-position model. Lineage: Eukaryota; Metazoa; Arthropoda; Arachnida; Araneae; Nemesiidae. The record is from RNAcentral.
GUGGGCCCUCGAAAUCCGUCGGCGGGGGAUUCAGUCGGGAGGUGUGGGCUCGUGCGCCGGUCGUUUCUUCGGACCCUUGAACGGGCCGGGCCGGCGUCGCAGUCUCCACGCGACCCGACGCACUUCCUCCCGCCCCAAGGACGCCGCAGCCGGUUGGGUAGCUGCGCGAGUCGGCCAUAAGGACGGGCACCGGAAGGUGGCCAGUGGCGUUCCCCGUGUUCGUCGCUGGUCGUUAUCCAGCCCGCCCGUGGCGCGACACCCGACCGAGGUCGAUUGGUCCCGGUUAGGACCUUGCCGUCCCCUCCCCCGUGGUCGAGCGGGCGCGCCGGCAGGCGAUUCCCCUUGCGGUCGUCCCACUCUCCGAGUGGCCGGCCCUCGGGUGGCGCCGUUGGCAGGGAUGCGUCCCGCGCGGGGAUAGCGAUGGCUUGCGGCGAGUAGGUCGGUCACCCACCCGACCCGUCUUGAAACACGGACCAAGGAGUCUAACAUGUGCGCGAGUCACGGGGUCUUGUUCAGGCCCAGAGGCGCAAUGAAAGUGAAGGCCGGCCUCGACGCCGGUCGUGUUGGGACUCUCCGCUUCGAUAGCGGGGAAGCACCAACGACCCGCCCUGUCCGAUUCAUCGGUUGGGCGGAGUGUGAGCGUACACGUUGGGACCCGAAAGAUGGUGAACUAUGCCUGGGCAGGACGAAGCCAGAGGAAACUCUGGUGGAGGUCCGUAGCGGUUCUGACGUGCAAAUCGAUCGUCAGACCUGGGUAUAGGG